RNAcentral lists this long non-coding RNA (1162 nucleotides) under Carassius auratus (goldfish). RNAcentral's name for it is "lncRNA (ENSCARG00000007086.1)". Lineage: Eukaryota; Metazoa; Chordata; Actinopteri; Cypriniformes; Cyprinidae. The record is from RNAcentral.
CACCUGUUUCAGUGUGGAGUUCCUCUGACUGUGUUCUUCUAUGUUUCUAUAGACCGGCCCACAUGUGAGAUCAUGCUGUAGGUGUUGACACAAUUACACUGUUGAUAAAAUGUCUCUGUUGUUCUGCUAUCUGAUGAGGCUUCUUCUUUGAUGCCCUUUUUCUCCUCCUACAAUGAUGAGAAAGCACAUUUGGCUUUUUACCACCUACAGGAAAAGCUUUGAUCUCUUAAAUAUACAUAAAUCAAAGUUUUAAGGGACUGUUGUUUUAAAAACAAGUAGCGGACAUGGAUCAGCUGACUUCACUAAACAAAAACUGAGAAGUAAAGAGAGGAACUGCUGCAUUGCCUUGUGACACUGUCACACAGGACACGUUUUAAUCCAAUCAAUAUGCAUUAUGAUGAUUUUAUGAUUUGAAUGAUGUCUUAGCCAUUUUAUACCUCUUUCCUAGUUUAAUGUGUGUAUGUCUUUAAAUGAGACUGGGCCUGCCUGUCAUGUGAGUGAUCACUGAGCAGAUGACAGGGAAGUGGAAAUGGACAUUAUUGGACCAGAGGGAGAUAAGGAGGCUGCUAUUGAAUCUGCUGCAAGUUGAUGCCUUUGGUGAAGCUUUACAAAGUGAUGGCAGAAGGAAAGGAUCCUAGAUUUUACUAAUACAUCUGCCUAUUUCUAACUGCUACAUGCAGAAAAACAAAUAAAGAAUAAAAACACACACACACACAAAAAAAAAUUGAUAUUGUUUUGAAGGUUGUAUAACUGUUGUUACAUGUAGAUCUAUUUCAUUGCGUUAAUUUCAUUCAUAGUCCGAAAAGUAUGUAAAGCGCUGUCAAUCAAUUAAAAACUAACUAACUACUCAUACAUUUUUUUCUGAAAUUAACCAUGAUUAAUCCCACCUAGCAUUAAAAUUUUAAAUAUACAGUACAUUUAUACUGCAUUAAUUUCACAUUCAAUCUUCAAAUUAAUGUAGAAACAUCAUAAAGAUGGUAAAUCUUUUAUAUUUGUUCAAUGUAAUCUUUUUUUAUGACUGAAGGCAAGUAUCACUGAUACCAGUUCUACUGAUAUCUUUAUGAAUUUUUUUGUCUUAUAUUUAACUAUUGACUAUAGCCUUUCAAAAUUACUGUAUACUGUAAAAUUUAAGUGAACUUUAAACAAUCUUCACAUAAACACA